Molecule: ribosomal RNA, 253 nt
Filed under: uncultured bacterium
Lineage: Bacteria
Description: partial 16S ribosomal RNA
Rfam family: Bacterial small subunit ribosomal RNA
Source: RNAcentral
UACGGAGGGGGCUAGCGUUGUUCGGAAUUACUGGGCGUAAAGCGCACGUAGGCGGCUUUGUAAGUUAGAGGUGAAAGCCCGGGGCUCAACUCCGGAAUUGCCUUUAAGACUGCAUCGCUAGAACGUCGGAGAGGUAAGUGGAAUUCCGAGUGUAGAGGUGAAAUUCGUAGAUAUUCGGAAGAACACCAGUGGCGAAGGCGACUUACCGGACGACUGUUGACGCUGAGGUGCGAAAGCGUGGGGAGCAAACAGG